GUCCUUUUGAUUUUUAUUUAAGGUCUGACCUGCCCACUGAUUUAUUUAAUGGCCGCGGUAUUUUGACCGUGCAAAGGUAGCAUAGUAAUUUGUCUUUUAAUUGAAGGCUUGUAUGAAUGGUUGGACGAGAAAACUACUUUCUUUAUAAUAAAAUUGUUAAUUUUAUUUUUUAGUUAAAAAGCUAAAAUGUUGUUGUAGGACGAGAAGACCCUAUAGAACUUUAUAUUUAUUUUUUUAUCAAUAUUUUUGGUUAAUAAUAUGUUGUAUCUUUAUAAAUAUUUUGUUGGGGCGACAAGAAAAUUUAUUUAACUUUUUUUAUUAAUUUCAUUAAUUAAUGUACAAAUGAUCCUUUAUUAUGGAUAAUUAGAAUAAGUUACCUUAGGGAUAACAGCGUAAUUUUUUUGGAGAGUUCUUAUCGAUAAAAAAGUUUGCGA
Molecule: ribosomal RNA, 434 nt
Filed under: Callicorixa raddei
Lineage: Eukaryota; Metazoa; Arthropoda; Insecta; Hemiptera; Corixidae
Description: partial large subunit ribosomal RNA
Rfam family: Archaeal large subunit ribosomal RNA
Source: RNAcentral